CAGUAGCCGCGGGAAUACGUAGGGUGCAAGCGUUAAUCGGAAUUACUGGGCGUAAAGCGUGCGCAGGCGGUUAUAUAAGACAGAUGUGAAAUCCCCGGGCUCAACCUGGGAACUGCAUUUGUGACUGUAUAGCUAGAGUACGGCAGAGGGGGAUGGAAUUCCGCGUGUAGCAGUGAAAUGCGUAGAUAUGCGGAGGAACACCGAUGGCGAAGGCAAUCCCCUGGGCCCAUAACUGACGCUGAGGCACGAAAGCGUGGGGAGCAAACAGGAUUAGAUACCCGAGUAGUCCCUGUCUCUUAUA
RNAcentral lists this ribosomal RNA (301 nucleotides) under uncultured bacterium. RNAcentral describes it as "partial 16S ribosomal RNA". It matches the Rfam family "Bacterial small subunit ribosomal RNA", at positions 509 to 808 of the family's 1533-position model. The record is from RNAcentral.